Molecule: ribosomal RNA, 247 nt
Filed under: uncultured bacterium
Lineage: Bacteria
Description: partial 16S ribosomal RNA
Rfam family: Bacterial small subunit ribosomal RNA
Source: RNAcentral
AUACGUAGGGUGCAAGCGUUAAUCGGAAUUACUGGGCGUAAAGCGUGCGCAGGCGGUUAUGUAAGACAGAGGUGAAAUCCCCGGGCUCAACCUGGGAACUGCCUUUGUGACUGCAUAGCUGGAGUGCGGCAGAGGGGGAUGGAAUUCCGCGUGUAGCAGUGAAAUGCGUAGAUAUGCGGAGGAACACCGAUGGCGAAGGCAAUCCCCUGGGCCUGCACUGACGCUCAUGCACGAAAGCGUGGGGAGC